Molecule: ribosomal RNA, 919 nt
Filed under: Chlorella sorokiniana
Lineage: Eukaryota; Viridiplantae; Chlorophyta; Trebouxiophyceae; Chlorellales; Chlorellaceae
Description: SSU rRNA
Rfam family: Eukaryotic small subunit ribosomal RNA
Source: RNAcentral
UGGCUACCACAUCCAGGAAGGAGCAGGCGCGCAAAUUACCCAAUCCUGACACAGGGAGGUAGUGACAAUAAAUAACAAUACUGGGCCUUUUCAGGUCUGGUAAUUGGAAUGAGUACAAUCUAAACCCCUUAACGAGGAUCAAUUGGAGGGCAAGUCUGGUGCCAGCAGCCGCGGUAAUUCCAGCUCCAAUAGCGUAUAUUUAAGUUGCUGCAGUUAAAAAGCUCGUAGUUGGAUUUCGGGUGGGGCCUGCCGGUCCGCCGUUUCGGUGUGCACUGGCAGGGCCCACCUUGUUGCCGGGGACGGGCUCCUGGGCUUCACUGUCCGGGACUCGGAGUCGGCGCUGUUACUUUGAGUAAAUUAAGUCAAGCAGGCCUACGCUCUGAAUACAUUAGCAUGGAAUAACACGAUAGGACUCUGGCCUAUCCUGUUGGUCUGUAGGACCGGAUAAUGAUUAAAGGGACAGUCGGGGGGCAUUCGUAUUUCAUUGUCAGAGGUGAAAUUCUUGGAUUUAUGAAAGACGAACUACUGCGAAAGCAUUUGCCAGGAUGUUUUCAUUAAUCAAGAACGAAAGUUGGGGGCUCGAAACAUAAUACCGUCCUAGUCUCAACCAUAAACGAUGCCACUAGGGAUCGGCGGAGUUCUUCAUGACUCCGCCGCACCUUAUGAGAAAUCAAAGUUUUUGGGUUCGGGGGAGUAUGGUCGCAGGUGAAACUUAAGGAAUUGACGAGGGCACCCCAGGCGUGGAGCCUGCGGCUUAUUUGAUACCGGGGAAAUUACCAGGUCGACUAGGAGGAUCGAUGAGACUCUUCUUGAUCUAUGGGGGGGGCAUGGGCCGUUCUUAGGGCCUUGCGGUUGAUUCCGGACGACGAACCUCCCGCAAUACGCGCCCGGACUUCUUGGAUAUAAAAGUAACGGAAGG